Long non-coding RNA from Sycon ciliatum, 898 nucleotides. RefSeq lists it as uncharacterized. The transcript has 3 exons. The record is from RefSeq and is a predicted model, not a curated record. Lineage: Eukaryota; Metazoa; Porifera; Calcarea; Leucosolenida; Sycettidae.
GCUAGCAUGCUGCUUGCUGUGGCACAACACUACAAUGAAAUAGCUUCCUGUUUCCAUCGCUCGGUCGUCUGCUGCGGCGGAGAAUAUUCUUAUUUGAGUGCUUCGCCGCAUUUUACUUGUCCUUUCUUCUCCAAACUACAGGACCAAUAGUUAGAAAGUGGCCAUGUUGAAGAAGCACUAAACGGUACUUGUGUUCCUCGCGGUAAAUAAUUAGUGUCCUGUAAAAGCUCUGGACAGCUUCAACUCGUUUUUGUGCCAGAGUCGCAGAGUGUGCCAUGGCAGGUGUUAGUUUCCGGCAACAACGGCUUAGUGGGUGUAUGUACGUACUGUCAGGCUAGUUAUUUGUGCCCAGCGAGUGUGACCCAUGCGUAUCGUCGCUGAAGCCCUGGACAACUCUCAGAGUCAUACUCAUAGGCAGCGUGCACUUCGUGGUCCUCCUGAUGGACACAGCUAGUUGACGACUCAGUCAUUUAAUUAUGAUAUCGACAGCACAGCUAAACCUGGCCGUCGACUUGGCAUGGCGUAGCUACGUACAGUAAGCAGCUACUGCGCUAUAUGUAGUUCUGCGCUAGGGAGGAGAGUGUCUCAUGGCGAAGCAAAGGAGUCAUGCUGUGCUACAGCUACACGCGUUCCGGGCUAGCACCAGUCACUCAGUAGCGGAGUGGAGGGUGGGCUACUGCUUCCAGCACUUGUUUUCUCAUCUGACAUCAGAAUUCAGGUCUAUUCCUGUCUCUUGUCAUGCAAGUGUGUGCAUGUUUGCAUGGGUGCUAGAAGGCAACUCGGAGCUCCGUCGCAGGAAAAGGACACAGGGGGACAGCAAGAAGGCAAGCCAGCAAGAAGCAAGCCGGCGAAGAAAAUUCAUGCGAAGAAAAUUCUAUAGUAUUGGCCAUCCCGAACC